Molecule: ribosomal RNA, 253 nt
Filed under: uncultured bacterium
Lineage: Bacteria
Description: partial 16S ribosomal RNA
Rfam family: Bacterial small subunit ribosomal RNA
Source: RNAcentral
UACGUAGGGUGCAAGCGUUAAUCGGAAUUACUGGGCGUAAAGCGUGCGCAGGCGGUUGUGCAAGACAGAGGGGAAAUCCCCGGGCUUAACCUGGGAACGGCCUUUGUGACUGCACGGCUAGAGUGUGUCAGAGGGGGGUAGAAUUCCACGUGUAGCAGUGAAAUGCGUAGAGAUGUGGAGGAAUACCGAUGGCGAAGGCAGCCCCCUGGGAUAACACUGACGCUCAUGCACGAAAGCGUGGGGAGCAAACAGG